Molecule: non-coding RNA, 29 nt
Filed under: Mus musculus (house mouse)
Lineage: Eukaryota; Metazoa; Chordata; Mammalia; Rodentia; Muridae
Source: RNAcentral
UGCAAAUCCUCUGGUGAUACACUGGGUUC